GUUGAAUUGAGAGCAGUAUCUCCAAACCAAGAGUUAUAAACCAAUCAAAGGAUGGGUUUUUGAAUCAAGAAUAGCCUUUUUGAGGAUGAGGAUUGUGGCAAAACACUGAGAAAGGAAGCAGACAACUCGGCAUUACCUGGAUCUUGUGAAUGCCCUCCUCCAUUUCUCUCUUCUCAACGGCAAAAGCUGAGGAACUUUUUGGAUAAGCGGUGCAAGUUACGCAGAUGAUUAAGAAAAUGUAACUUGAUGAAAGCCAAACUCUUGAUUCCGUAACUCAAGCUAAACAUAAUGGCCAGCAGAGUAGCUUAAUACAGUGACCUCAACUUCUCUUUCUUGCUAGCCACAUAUUGCUAUGGCAAAUUUUUUUUGAAAGAAUAUGCUUAGCUAACAGUAUAAAUCUCAAUAAACAUCCUACUUCAUGGA
This is a long non-coding RNA of Camelina sativa (false flax), 423 nucleotides long. RefSeq lists it as uncharacterized. The record is from RefSeq and is a predicted model, not a curated record. NCBI's taxonomy places the organism in Eukaryota, Viridiplantae, Streptophyta, Magnoliopsida, Brassicales, Brassicaceae.